Molecule: ribosomal RNA, 555 nt
Filed under: Triticum aestivum (bread wheat)
Lineage: Eukaryota; Viridiplantae; Streptophyta; Magnoliopsida; Poales; Poaceae
Description: partial small subunit ribosomal RNA
Source: RNAcentral
AUGCGGGAACCGCCGCCGCCGUCGCCGUCGCCCAGCGCGUCACGCGCGGCCAUGGCGUGCGUGGUGACGUCGGAAGUCGCCACGGUGCUCGCCAUCAUGCGCCGCAACGUCCGCUGGGCAGCCGGCGGCGACGACGACCCCCUCGACCACCCUCUCAUCACGGGCCUCAAGUCCCUCCGCCGCGCCGCGGCUACGUGGAGCCCGCGCCGGUGGCGGGACGUGGAGCCGCUCCUCUACCUCGGCCCCUUCCUCGACGUCGUCCGCUCCGACGAGGCCGGCGCGCCCGCCACGGGCGCCGCGCUCUCGUCCCUCCACAAGGUGCUCUCCCUCGACCUCGUCGGCCCCGACGCGCCCGGCGCGGACCGGGCCAUGGCCGCUGUCGUGGAGGCCGUCGCGGGGUGCCGCUUCGAGGUCACCGACGCGGCGUCGGAGGAGGCCGUCCUGGCCAGGGCGCUGCAGGUGCUGCUCGCCUGCGUGCGCGGCCGCGCGGCGCCCGCGCUCUCCAACCGCCACGUGUGCGACAUUGUCAACACUUGCAGGCUGACUCGCUCUUGA